Scylla paramamosain (green mud crab) is the source of this 384-nucleotide long non-coding RNA. RefSeq lists it as uncharacterized. The record is from RefSeq and is a predicted model, not a curated record. The transcript is spliced from 2 exons. NCBI's taxonomy places the organism in Eukaryota, Metazoa, Arthropoda, Malacostraca, Decapoda, Portunidae.
AGAUAUGCUAAAGCUGCCAGCCGUGAUGCCGAGCAGAUCUCCAACAAGUAGUUCUUCAUGUUCACUCUGUUUUUUCAUCCAGUAAUGAUCAUCAUCCUACAUUCACCCUGUUGGAGGAGGAGUCAUGUGGAAACCAGGGGCUACCAACUGGUGACGCGCUGCUGGUCCCGGCUUCCCCUGGCUCGUGGACCGCCGUGCUUUCAUCAACGUUGGGAAUCGCUUUGGCAGAUAUAAUGAAACAGAAUUUAGAUGCCAGAGUAAUGACUUGCUGCUUCUGACACCAAGGGAGCGUCUCUCUCUCUCUCUCUCUCUCUCUCUCUCUCUCUCUCUCUCUCUCUCUCUCUCUCUCUCUCUCUCUCUCUCUCUCUCUCUCUCUCUCUCUCU